Long non-coding RNA from Megalobrama amblycephala (Wuchang bream), 4395 nucleotides. RefSeq lists it as uncharacterized. NCBI's taxonomy places the organism in Eukaryota, Metazoa, Chordata, Actinopteri, Cypriniformes, Xenocyprididae. The record is from RefSeq and is a predicted model, not a curated record. The transcript has 16 exons.
GCUAAAUGGUUGCUCCAUAGACUUCUUUUGUAACUGAGUAGAAGCAUGAAGCAAAACAUCUUGUGUUAUACUAUUUCAGAAUGUUGUUGUAAAAUUGUCUUUUACAUAACAGAAAAUAAUGACUUACUGAAAGGUCAAUGGCAAAAGAUAAUGCAAGUGAUGGUUUAUUUAGAAGUGUAAAGCUAUUAAAUUCUGAAACACUGGAGGAGGUUUUGAGAAAUUUGAGAUAGCAUUUGUUAAACACUGUGGUAGAUGAUAUGUUUGAAGGCCACUUUAAUAGAAAAGUGAUACAAAUCCACCACCAGUAAAAGCUCUUCGUGAGUCAGUGUAAGUAAAUUUCAAGUUUAGUAAUUGGUUUAGAUGAGACGUUUUAUGACCCAGUGUCAUAAUCACUGCUUAUACACUCAACGCACAUUCUCCCACACACACACUGUUUGGAUGGAACUAGUCUUCCAUAGGGAGAUCAGGUAAAUUUGUGUUUGUUAGAUGUACUUUAAUCCCUUCUGAAUCAAACAUGUCUGUGUUUUUCUCACACAACCUCAGUAAAAAUGAAGGAGCUAAUUACCUACUGUUAUUUGGCCAGUCAGGGGUCCUAUGAGAAAUUUAAUCCUGGUAUCAUAUUUUUCCACAACUUUUCUCCUCGUUUAUUUUGACCUUCAUCGAAUGCCAUUACUGAAGCUAAAUUUCUUUUUGCUUUCCGGGAAUUCAGAACAUUCCAGGUAACAUAAGUUGCUGAAUCAAAAGUGACAGUCAAAACAUUUAUAACUUUAACAAAGAUGUCAAAUAAAUCCUGUUCUUUUUGAAGUGUCUAUUCAUCACAGGAUCCUGAAAAAUACCACAAAAUUUUUCCACAAAAAAAUAGUAAGCAGCACAACUGUUUUCAACAUAAAUAAUAGGAACAAAAAAUCACCAAAUCAGAGUGAUUUCUGAAGGAUCAUGUGACACUGAAGACUGGACUAAUGGAUGCUAUAAAAGUAAAUUUGCCAUCACAGAAAGAAAUUACAUUUUAAAAUAUAUUAAACUAGAAAACAGUUAUUUUAAUUUCACAAUAUUACUGUUUUCACUAUUUUUGAUCAGCACCCUGGGUGAGCAUAAGAGACUUAAAAUUACAGAGACCAGACUUUUGAACGGUAGUGUACAACACGCAUCCCCAACAACACACAUUCCCUCUUUAGUAAUUAUACAUAUACUGUAAAAUUUAACGAAUCCCAUCUGAAUAGCGCUUUUUCAUUGUUAUUUACGUGUCUUGAUGAUAUACAGGCUCACCAAUCAUCCUCACAUCUGUUACAUUAACUUCCACUGGUUCUCUACGGGAUCACAAACUCCUGUGUGUAUGUAUGUGUGUGAAAAACAUCCCCAAGGUCAGUGUGUGUGUGUGCCUGAAAUGGGAACAGGAACCUCUCGGUGGCCUUCGUACAGUAAACACGGCUCCUGUGGGACUCUGUUCAACUGUUGUCCUUAACCCCAGGAGAGCUUACUUCACACAUCUCAUCUGUAAUCAUGUAAAGCAAGGUUUACUAGGGGUCAGACUGAAUGACCCCUCACAGUACGCAACAACAUCAGCAAAUCCCACUGCUGAGGAGAGAAAAAUGGCUAAACUGGAGAAGCAUUAGGUGGGGUUCUGCACUUUCAUUUAAUCAGGAACGGUUCUGAACUACUAUCUUACACUGCAGUUAGCACUUGUUUGAUUUUAAUUAGGUCACAGAAAUUGAACAUAGGUUAAAAAUUCAGAUGAUGUGCAAUGAUAUUUGAUUCCCUUUGAUUGCUUUUUCCUCCAGGUCUUUCUAGCUGUGAAAAGGGAACUAAUCAGCUUAUUUAACACAGCACCGCACUCUGUAUUGACACAGUAAAUGGAAAAAGAAGAACCAUGGGUCCUGCAGAUUAGGGAAUGAAAAUGUUUGAAAAUGCAACACAGUCUAUGAUUUAAGAGCACAGGGAGACUGGAGACGCACGACACCUGUUCCGCCUCUUCAGAUGAUGGCUGGCUCUGCUGAUGGGUCUUGGACAGAGAGCGGUUGUGGUCAUCAUUACCAUAUCACACACACACUGACGCAUAUACACUCACAUACAGGUCUCUGGCUACAAUCCAAUCAGCAGAAGAGGUUGUGGGUAGAGGCAUUCUUGAGAUGUUUUAGGGGAAGUGGGACUAUAAUCAUGGCUCUCCAUACAUACAAAUUCUAUCUGUCUCCCGUUCUAUUGCAGAUGCAUACACUCUCCUUCUCAAUCCUGUAAAGUGGGCCUAAGAUCACAGGAAUACAAAUGUGACAGAGAUUCGAAAAAGCAUUUCCUGGCUGUCUACUGAAAUGAGAUGAAAGGAUCUACAUCGUAGGGCCAUUGAAACAUGACAGAAAAAAGGUGGGAAAUUAGGGAUCAUGUCAAUGGGCAGUUGUUCUUUCUGCUGGCUGUGGACUUCUGCUAAGACAUGGAGACAGGCAAAAAAACACGGCUUUCACAGUGAAUGACAAUACGCUAGCAGGCUGACUUGCUCAUCUGUGUGUAUUGCUAUUAUGAGGCAGUCUGUAAUAUACAUACAUUAUAUGCUACAUUACUUUGAAUGCAGACUAAUAUUUGCCUGACUUGCCCUAAGAAUCGGCAUACGGCGCCGGAAUUGCAGUGCGCCUGAAUAGCAACGCUUUACACUUCAGGGGAAUCGCAUUAUGAGAGCAGCCAUUGUCCUCAGACCCUGAACUUUUGAAAGCUUCUUUUUCAUUCCCAAAUGUCCCGCCCACUUCAAGAGUACCGUGUGCUCUGAUUGGACCACAGAGAUGCUGAGGAUGAUUAGGAGAUUCCUGGAGCUUUGCAGCUGCUGCAUCUGUGCUGAAGGAAUAUUGAGCUUCCUGAUACACGAGUCUUUCUUUCAGGGAAUUGAUCCAGAGUGUGAGCUUCUUGAGAUGCCACAGCACAAGAUUAAUUUGCAAGGAGUUCCAGGAUCUCACUUUCCGAGCAGGAAGUGUCCUGCAGAUGGGCUCCACGCAGCUCUGACGGCUUAGUUGCACCACCUCCCCGCUGUGCGACAUGAUGCUACCUGCGACUGGCUCUCCGAGGACUUUGGGAGGUUGUUGGAUAUGUCAGCCCCCGCUGAGCCGACAGGUGCAGACAAAUCUGCUGUGGAUUAGGUGAUACAUCGGAUGAAGGCGCGCUUAACCAAGCAUCUGUCCCGCGAAGAAUGUGUUGAAAGAAAGAAGUGUAACCGCCAGCUGAGGUUCUAAGGUGAAAACUCAUGAAUACAAACAUCAGUCUUCUCCUUUUCUUUCAGGGUUGUGUUGUCAGAUCCCAGAGCUCCAAACAGUAGAAGGGGCAGCCAGAGGGGACGUGACCAGUGGGAGAGAGGUCUGGCUGGGUUAGCUGAACUAUGCUUUGGCCUCCUUCAGCUGAUGGAGCGGUUUCUUCCAGGUGCCACCAGUGGAGACUCGAGCCCUUCGGACAUCUUCGACAAGGAUUUUCUAGAAUGAUGCAGGAGUAGAAAUAGCCAGGUGUGAGCAGAGAGAGGAAGCAGUCUGUAUUUAACCAGCACCACUCCUCUGAAUUCAUCUAAUGCUGCUGGGCCCAGAGAACUGCUCAGAAUCACAACAAGGUUACAUCAAAUUAACUGCCCUUUUGAACAGCUCAACCUUUUACGGUGGCACUGAAAUUAUCAGGUUUCUCUGCAGAAACUCAUCAUUCUCACAAGUUCAACCAAAUCGCCUUCAUCUCCGUCUAACUGGUGGGCGGAGUUACCAUCACUGAAUCAAGCUAAUUGGUUGAUCUACAUCUGCAGUGAAAUUCCAUUAUUUCAUUGGAUGAAGCCCCAAGAUACAAGGGAUUAUCGCUUGCUAUCAGAUGAAGAACUAUGGCAACACACACACAAAAUCCUUCAGAUAACACUGUAAAUGGACCAAGGAUAUGGACAACUCAAGGACAACUCAAGUUUUAAUUUUCAGACGAACUACAGACCAUGAAACGUCAUACAUGUGAUCGGUUGCUUCAUUGUUGCAUCAAUACUGGAUCCUCCCAUUUUCUUCACCUUGUGCUUUAGAAUGGUCUCCAUGGUUCUCAUAAUAACUAAUUAAACCAUCCUUUGACCUUCCAAAUACUACCGCACACAGUGAAAUUUGAUCAUAAGUCUGACUCGAACCCCCUAUGUCCAAAAGUCCAUUAAUUACCCCGUAGCUUUUCUCCCCAGCCCAGAGGAAGGUGACAUAGUUUAGCUCUCCUGCUAGGCCUUGCUUUGAAUUAAGUCUUUGGGAAGACCUUGCAGAUCCCUCUCGCCAUAUUGCAAUUAAUCAAACAGUGUUAAUUAUCUCAUUAUGAACCAGAGAUGGAUGUCUACGCCACAUUGGAGGGUGAGCGGAAAGAGCGAGAGACACAGGGGGCACGAGUGUGUAUACAAGAGAGAAAGAGAGAACGAGAAUGCCA